UAACCCUACUGAUCAAUAAAUUGUAUAAAAAUCAUUCAUAUCAUUCAUUUUAUCGCAAUAUUAAAUAAUUUUAUUGUUAUUGACACCAUCAUAAUGUAUGCUGAUUUUCUAUGUUAAAGCUAAAAAUAUCUCAGUUUUAAAUUUUGAGCAAAGAUUUAUGAAAAAAAGGCUUUCUCAAUGGUUUAAAUGUAAAAAUGAAUAUCAAAAUGAGAAAAUUAUAGGAAAGCAUAAUAAAAGAGGAAAAGGAUCCCUCCAAAAUGUAACAGCCACUAGCAGAAGAGAGAAGGCACUGAUUAGUUGCAUUUUACAACAUAUAAGAGAAACAGUGGAUGAACUUUUCCCUUAUGUUAUUUUUUGCAUUUUAUUUGCAAAUUGCCUCAUCACAAGGAUACACUUAUAAAUAAAAUAGUAUGAAAACCUGUAGUGUAAAUGUGGCCUCUUUCAACAUAUUAAACAGAUAACCAAUAUAGUAUAUUAUUACUCUAGCAUUCAGUAUAAGAAACUGCCAGUAUCUAAUAUUAUUUAAUCUUUCCUUAUUAUCAAAUAAAAUUGAUAUAUCUGUUCACUUUAUUUCUCUCAUAAUAGAUAACUUUCUUUAUUAUAAAUUUUUUGUUAUCAGAAUGCAGAUAAGUUUUCUUAGAUUUUUUAAAUCUUUGCUUGAUU
RNAcentral lists this long non-coding RNA (663 nucleotides) under Androctonus crassicauda. Lineage: Eukaryota; Metazoa; Arthropoda; Arachnida; Scorpiones; Buthidae. The record is from RNAcentral.